Molecule: ribosomal RNA, 465 nt
Filed under: Vreelandella stevensii
Lineage: Bacteria; Pseudomonadati; Pseudomonadota; Gammaproteobacteria; Oceanospirillales; Halomonadaceae
Description: partial 16S ribosomal RNA
Rfam family: Bacterial small subunit ribosomal RNA
Source: RNAcentral
CCUACGGGAGGCUGCAGUGGGGAAUAUUGGACAAUGGGCGAAAGCCUGAUCCAGCCAUGCCGCGUGUGUGAAGAAGGCCUUCGGGUUGUAAAGCACUUUCAGUGGGGAAGAAAGCCUUGGGGCUAAUACCCUCGAGGAAGGACAUCACCCACAGAAGAAGCACCGGCUAACUCCGUGCCAGCAGCCGCGGUAAUACGGAGGGUGCGAGCGUUAAUCGGAAUUACUGGGCGGAAAGCGCGCGUAGGCGGUCUGAUAAGCCGGUUGUGAAAGCCCCGGGCUCAACCUGGGAACGGCAUCCGGAACUGUCAGGCUAGAGUGCAGGAGAGGAAGGUAGAAUUCCCGGUGUAGCGGUGAAAUGCGUAGAGAUCGGGAGGAAUACCAGUGGCGAAGGCGGCCUUCUGGACUGACACUGACGCUGAGGUGCGAAAGCGUGGGUAGCAAACAGGAUUAGAUACCCGGGUAGUC